This 77-nucleotide transfer RNA is filed under the name Geosporobacter subterraneus DSM 17957. RNAcentral describes it as "tRNA_Arg_TCG". It matches the Rfam family "tRNA". From Rfam's summary of the family: Transfer RNA (tRNA) molecules are approximately 80 nucleotides in length. Their secondary structure includes four short double-helical elements and three loops (D, anti-codon, and T loops). The record is from RNAcentral. Lineage: Bacteria; Bacillati; Bacillota; Clostridia; Peptostreptococcales; Thermotaleaceae.
GCGCCCUUAGCUCAAUUGGAUAGAGUUGCAGACUUCGAAUCUGAAGGUUGGGGGUUCGAGACCCUCAGGGCGCACCA